UUUGAUCCUGCUCAGAUUGAACGCUGGCGGCAGGCCUAACACAUGCAAGUCGAGCGGAUGAAGGGAGCUUGCUCCUGGAUUCAGCGGCGGACGGGUGAGUAAUGCCUCAGGAAUCUGCCUGGUAGUGGGGGAUAACGUCCGGAAACGGGCGCUAAUACCGCAUACGUCCUGAGGGAGAAAGUGGGGGAUCUUCGGACCUCCACGCUAUCAGAUGAGCCUAGGUCGGAUUAGCUAGUUGGUGGGGUAAAGGCCUACCAAGGCGACGAUCCGUAACUGGUCUGAUAGGAUGAUCAGUCACACUGGAACUGAGACACGGUCCAGACUCCUACGGGAGGCAGCAGUGGGGAAUAUUGGACAAUGGGCGAAAGCCUGAUCCAGCCAUGCCGCGUGUGUGAAGAAGGUCUUCGGAUUGUAAAGCACUUUAAGUUGGGAGGAAGGGCAGUAAGUUAAUACCUUGCUGUUUUGACGUUACCAACAGAAUAAGCACCGGCUAACUUCGUGCCAGCAGCCGCGGUAAUACGAAGGGUGCAAGCGUUAAUCGGAAUUACUGGGCGUAAAGCGCGCGUAGGUGGUUCAACAAGUUGGAUGUGAAAUCCCCGGGCUCAACCUGGGAACUGCAUCCAAAACUACUGAGCUAGAGUACGGUAGAAGGUGGUGGAAUUUCCUGUGUAGCGGUGAAAUGCCUUAGAUAUAGGAAGGAACACCAGUGGCGAAGGCGACACCUGGACUGAUACUGACACUGAGGUGCCAAAGCCUGGGGAGCCAACAGGAUUAGAUACCCUGGUAGUCCACGCCGUAAACGAUGUCGACUAGCCGUUGGGAUCCUUGAGAUCUUAGUGGCGCAGCUAACGCGAUAAGUCGACCGCCUGGGGAGUACGGCCGCAAGGUUAAAACUCAAAUGAAUUGACGGGGGCCCGCACAAG
This 923-nucleotide ribosomal RNA is filed under the name Pseudomonas aeruginosa. RNAcentral describes it as "bacterial SSU rRNA". It matches the Rfam family "Bacterial small subunit ribosomal RNA", at positions 12 to 929 of the family's 1533-position model. The record is from RNAcentral. Lineage: Bacteria; Pseudomonadati; Pseudomonadota; Gammaproteobacteria; Pseudomonadales; Pseudomonadaceae.